Molecule: ribosomal RNA, 246 nt
Filed under: uncultured bacterium
Lineage: Bacteria
Description: partial 16S ribosomal RNA
Rfam family: Bacterial small subunit ribosomal RNA
Source: RNAcentral
UAUGGCGACCGGCGCACGGGUGAGUAACACGUAUCCAACCUGCCGAUGACUCGGGGGUAGCCUUUCGAAAGAAAGAUUAAUACCCGAUGGCAUAGUUCUUCCGCAUGGUAGAACUAUUAAAGAAUUUCGGUCAUCGAUGGGGAUGCGUCCCAUUAGGUUGUUGGCGGGGUAACGGCCCACCAAGCCUUCGAUGGAUAGGGGUUCUGAGAGGAAGGUCCCCCACAUUGGAACUGAGACACGGUCCAA